RNAcentral lists this ribosomal RNA (3186 nucleotides) under Triticum aestivum (bread wheat). Its description in RNAcentral is "partial small subunit ribosomal RNA". The record is from RNAcentral. Lineage: Eukaryota; Viridiplantae; Streptophyta; Magnoliopsida; Poales; Poaceae.
UAAAAAAGUCACCAACUAUACCACAAAGUGAAAACAACAAAAACAUCUCCGUCUUUGCGAGAUCACUAAUGGGAAGGACACGAUGAAAGUGAUCUAUAAUACCCUUCAAGAAGAGACCAGAACAACUACCUGACACAAGAUCCAUAGUACCACAACAGGUCUCUAUACCGUACCCUACAGAAAAUCUCAAACAAUCCUGGCUCCAAGGGGAGCCCAACUACUUCACCGAGCGGUCAUCCAAACUACAGGGAAGUAGACUUAAGGUCGAGUUUUCCUUUAAAUAGGGUUACUGGUUCAUACUAUAAGUACUGUAGGAGCUGGAAGGUCAUCUACCACUCGGUGAACACACACUAGGAUUUAGGCCGGCACUAAAAUAGGAGAGAGAGUGAAACUGAACUGGUCAUAAGGAGGGCACAGGAAGAAACGUUUGUUCGAUUUCAGUUGUCUUCAGCUCAACGGACUACUUCUACAGAAAUAAACAAAGUACUAACAACGAAAAAGUAGUAAGGAAACAGGGUUGAGAUCGGAGCCAGGAUCGGGUUUCAUGGAUGUAUAGAAGUCCCUAACAGGAAAGCACGCAUUGAUACUAGACAGCUCUAAACAAAUACUCACCGACAACUCAACGUAUUUUUUCAAGUUCCUAAGGUGAUUUCAACGAAGGUUUUCUAGUCACUGUAAACCGCCAACAGUGAUACGAAAACGACAAACAAUGGAACUGGUUGAAUUAAAACCAGAAGUGAGACAGGGACUACAGUUCGGAGUCUAGGAUCAUACUUUUCCAUUGUUUCAAUUCGUUAAAAGUCUCGAACUAUCUUUGUUAUCGGCGAGAAAACCAUUCUCCGGAGAUUUCGUCAACACAGGAAGUAAAGUAAACGUCAGAUAGCUCUUUAGAAGUCGUUCGUUCCUACCACUACAAGGGGAAACGUUGUGGUUCGAAAAACUUUACUUACGCGUCUUUAGUAAACCACGAGCAAAACCUAAUCUCCGACGAGUCCAUCACUAUCUGGAACAAGUUCGAUCCUUGUUUCUGUUCGGAUUCUAUACAAAUCUUAGAGAACAUUAACUACAGAACCUGACGUAUCGUUUGAGUCGAAACUUACGCUUUGGAUAACGAUGUGGUUUUCAAAGAAGUUCGCUACAAGUUAGAGAUUUGUUGAAGAGAAAACCGUUAUUCAAAUAAAGAUAAGUGAGAAAGUAGGAACUUUCUUUGUAACUUUGAUAACAGCUUUUCGGUAGAGGAGUUCAGGUCGUGGGUUAGGGGUUAAACUUACUUCGAAGAUGAAAACAACGACCACAAUAAAGCCUACCCCUAAAAGAGUUAGGUCAUCAUAAUAGAUCAAGUAGAGGUCAAGGAUUCUCACACCACUUACUUCGAUUACGCCUUCCACGUUAAGGUUACCUAGGAGAUAGAACACCUUUUUCACGAAGACUACGAUAUCCAUAUAGGGGAAGUUGUUACGUCACAGGUUAAGGACGAUAACCAAGAAGCGACUACGUAAGUCGACCAGGACUAUUUUUCACGCUCGGGUUCCAACAACAAUGACUAAAAGUUUUUGGUUCAAAACGACUUAAGUCAGCGAGAGAACCACAAGUUAGUGUGGGAUUUCAAAAGUAAGUUGUCGUGUUUCAAUUUCUCCCACUGAGAAGAAAACCUCCUGAUAGCGGAGACCAAGGAUAAGCAAACAGCGUCGCCAAGGUGUUACACCAUCUACUACAACUCACGAGAAUCAUACUACAACUUUCUAAGAACUUAAGCGAACUAGGUGGUUUACAACUCCUAACGUAACUUUACCACUGGAACGGAGGAAGACUUCAAAGUUUCAGUUUAAAGAGGAGUUCGGUGGAAUUACUAGUCGGUCAUCUGCUGCAAGUUUAACACCCCUGAAGGUCAAAACAACUAUCUACGUUUCUGGAAAGUUCCAGAUUACUACAACGAAUGUUGUUCGAAUUGUUGAAGUUGAACUGUCUUAGAGUUAGUUGAUCAGUAAAGGGAUUCUUAGUUUUUCGAUAACGAUCAAGUCUUCAUCUCUAGAACAGAAGGCCCUUACGGAGAUCUCUAGAAAGAGGACGAGUUCAAGGAUUUCGAGUACCGAGUAGAAAACAACAAGGAUCACCAAGUAGACCACGAGUAGAUGGAGCGUCCUACCAAAAUGGUCCAUCUAUAUUGAGCCUAAGAAUACAACGAGUCCCAUUGUUCAAAGGACAAAGACGAUUUCUUUCCGCAGUGGAGGAUCGUUACCAAGUUUAACCUCUGGUACUUUCAACCACGUUCAUACUUCGUUAAGCUAUACUGACUAGGAUGACAUCAAUGGCAUUAGAACGUUGAAACUUCAGUUCUCUUGUACACCUAUUAAAGAACUAAAACACGCAAACAGCAAUAGACAAGUUUGUUCGGGUGGGUAGCCAUAGUUCCUUUGUAAAGAAGAAGAGAAUAUAACCCCUUUGGUAAGAUUCUCCAUGACUACAACUAUAACAUCCGUUACGUAAAUGACCGCGAUUCACGAAAGGGUUACACCUCUUCAUUAGACAAUAAGAAAGGAUAACCUGUCCUCUUUGUGACCAAAUGGAACCAACAAACGAACUUCCUCUCCCGUAAGCGUAAAGAACUAAGAAACAUGCCCCGUUUCCUAGUAAAAGUAGACCCUUAAGUACUAUUUAACUAACUUUUAAAGUAUUGUUAGACCCUAGUCAAACACUGAGGAUAGGAUGCAUGAGCAUAGCUGAAACUCUUAAAACUGUAACAGAUGGGAUGACAAGGUGUCGUUUUAUUGACCCUCCUAACACCACAAAAGUGAUAGUACAUAGACUUCGUGGCCUGAGGAUCCUGGGGUUAACCGUUAUACAAACCGCGUCGGCUACAACUAUUGUAUUCUUAGUCUAACCGUUUGCUCAACAUAAAGUCACCUAAGUUGUCACAGCUGUUCUGUAAACAAUGGGUGAAGAAGCUACUACAGUUCCGAAUCCAAAAGGACCUUCUACGUAAAAACACUGUAACUUCCGAAACGAAUUUUGAUCCGAAAGGUUCUUUAAUAUCUAUCAUCAUGACGACCGUUACAAAAAACAGCCAUCACACUAAUUUAGGCUAUUUAAACAUGCGAAACCAGAUCAACAGUACAGACACACAACCUACCAACAAGAUAAAAAUUACAGCACUUAGUCACUGAGAAAAAUUGUCUCUUCAUACUC